ACUGAGCAUUUCUUUCAGAACGCUGCUGAGCACUCCCAAAGGCACCAGAGCCCUAAGAUCCUCCUCUCACUCUACUAUCUAAGAAAGACUGGAACGUCAGCGCUGUGAUGUUUUUUCUGUAAACCUACCUCCAGAUUUGGUGAGAUUUAGGACAUAAUAUGACUCUCCGGACAUGAUGUGAAGUAUGGCUAUUGGACCACUGGAUGCAUAUAGGAUCACUCUGCUGCCAAUGGGCCUGUCCUGAACAGGACACAAAUGUGUUCAGUCAUAGCUAUUUUUGCUCCAUAGCUAAGUUUAGGCAAGCUUUGCGGAAUGUUAUUAA
Molecule: long non-coding RNA, 322 nt
Organism: Pygocentrus nattereri (red-bellied piranha)
Lineage: Eukaryota; Metazoa; Chordata; Actinopteri; Characiformes; Serrasalmidae
Exons: 3
Source: RefSeq, a predicted model, not a curated record